Molecule: transfer RNA, 72 nt
Filed under: Chelydra serpentina (North American snapping turtle)
Lineage: Eukaryota; Metazoa; Chordata; Testudines; Chelydridae
Rfam family: tRNA
About the family: Transfer RNA (tRNA) molecules are approximately 80 nucleotides in length. Their secondary structure includes four short double-helical elements and three loops (D, anti-codon, and T loops). Further hydrogen bonds mediate the characteristic L-shaped molecular structure. tRNAs have two regions of fundamental functional importance: the anti-codon, which is responsible for specific mRNA codon recognition, and the 3' end, to which the tRNAs corresponding amino acid is attached (by aminoacyl-tRNA synthetases). tRNAs cope with the degeneracy of the genetic code in two manners: having more than one tRNA (with a specific anti-codon) for a particular amino acid; and 'wobble' base-pairing, i.e. permitting non-standard base-pairing at the 3rd anti-codon position.
Source: Rfam by way of RNAcentral
GGGGAUGUAGCUCAGUGGUAGAGCACCUGCUUCGCAUGUUUGAGGUCCUGGGUUCAAUCCCCAGCAUCUCCA